AAAUUUCCAAUGACAGGAGCCAUGGAAGAGGCUGCAUUUUCACCUCCCAGUCAGAAAGUUAGAAGUAUUGUAAUGGAAGAAUCAAGCAUGGAGAGGAAAACAGGCUCUGAUGUCUUUUCACCUGGUCCCGAGGAUGUCUUUUCACCUGGGCCCGAGGAUAUAGAAAGGAGAUCAUCUAUGACAAAAGCCACGUAUGAGGCUUCAGAACUAUCCCCUCGGGGAGAUAGAUGUAUUCAAAUGGAAGAAUCAAGCAUUAACAAG
Molecule: long non-coding RNA, 261 nt
Filed under: Citrus sinensis (sweet orange)
Lineage: Eukaryota; Viridiplantae; Streptophyta; Magnoliopsida; Sapindales; Rutaceae
Description: long non-coding RNA (CSIN_LNC001532)
Source: RNAcentral